RNAcentral lists this small RNA (29 nucleotides) under Bombyx mori (domestic silkworm). RNAcentral's name for it is "ovarian small RNA-13838". The record is from RNAcentral. Lineage: Eukaryota; Metazoa; Arthropoda; Insecta; Lepidoptera; Bombycidae.
CCGAUUCAAACUCCGCCUGCGAAACGUCC